AAGAUAGCGGUAUCCCGAGUAGGGCGGGACACGAGAAAUCCUGCCUGAAUUCGCCAGGACCUCCUGGCAAGGCUAAAUACUCCCGAGAGACCGAUAGUGAACCAGUACCGCGAGGGAAAGGUGAAAAGUACCCCGAGCAGGGGGGUGAAAUAGACCCUGAACCCGCGCGCCUACAAGCGGUCGGAGCCAUGAAAUAUGGUGACGGCGUGCCUUUUGCAUAAUGAGCCUACGAGUUAGUCGUCACCAGCGAGGUUAAGGGCUUCAGGCCCGUUAGCCGAAGUGAAAGCGAGCCUUAACAGGGCGUCGAGUUGGUGGCGCUAGACGCGAAACCUUGUGAUCUACCCACGAGCAGGUUGAAGUCGCGGUAACACGUGAUGGAGGACCGAACCGGUAAACGUUGAAAAGUUUUCGGAUGACUCGCGGGUAGGGGUGAAAGGCCAAUCAAACUGGGAAAUAGCUCGUACUCUCCGAAAUGCAUUUCGGUGCAGCCUGUGAUGUUCUGUUCCAGAGGUAGAGCUACUGGUUGGACGCGAGGGCUUCACCGCCUAUCAAAUCCGGAUAAACUCCGAAUGCUGGAACACGAAAUCAUGGAGUGAGCCCGCGGGUGCUAAGGUCCGCGGACGAGAGGGAAAGAACCCGGACCACCGGCUAAGGUCCCGGAUGGACAGUUAAGUUGAUCAAACGAGGUGGGAUCGCUGAGACAGCUAGGAUGUUGGCUUGGAAGCAGCCAUUCAUUUAAAGAGUGCGUAACAGCUCACUAGUCGAGCGAUCCCGCGUGGAUAAUACACGGGCAUCAAACUGUCAACCGAAGCCGUGGGGUUAGUUAAUGACUAACCGGUAGGAGAGCAUUCCUGCCAGCUUUGAAGGUCACCCGCGAGAGUGACUGGAGCGGCAUGAAAAGCAAAUGUAGGCAUAAGUAACGAUAAUGGGGGCGAGAACCCCCCACGCCGCAAGACCAAGGAUUCCCCGGCAAUGUCAAUCAGCCGGGGGUCAGCCGGCCUCUAAGGCUCACCCGAAAGGGGAUGCCGACGAGAAACGGGUUAACAUUCCCGUGCUUCUCGUCACCGUGACGCGGUGACGGGGUGAUGAAUGGACCGCGCGCUGACGGAAUAGCGCGUUGAAGGCCGUACCCGAUGAGGGUGGUAGUCAAGCACGCCACCCGAGGCGAGAGCCGAUAGUACCACGAGACUCCGGUCGAGUGGAUAGCGUCCAGGCAAUUUACCCCCUAGAAAACCCGCUAAACUUCAAGUGACGAGGAACCGUACUGUAAACGGACACACGUGGUCGGGUAGAACAUACCAAGGCGCUCGAGUGAUUCAUGGUCAAGGAACUAGGCAAAAUAGUCCUGUAACUUAGGGAUAAAGGACGCUCUAGUGAUAGAGCCGCAGAGUAAUGGCCCAGGCGACUGUUUACCAAAAACACAUGGCUAUGCCAAAUCGAAAGAUGACGUAUAUGGCCUGACACCUGCCCGGUGCCGGAAGGUUAAGAGGAGAGCUCAUCGGAAACGAGAAGGUUUGAAUUGAAGCCCCGGUAAACGGCGGCCGUAACUAUAACGGUCCUAAGGUAGCGAAAUUCCUUGUCGGGUAAGUUCCGACCUGCACGAAUGGUGUAACGAUCUGGGCACUGUCUCGACCAUGAGCUCGGUGAAAUUGUAGUUCCGGUGAAGAUGCCGG
Molecule: ribosomal RNA, 1673 nt
Filed under: gut metagenome
Description: bacterial LSU rRNA
Rfam family: Bacterial large subunit ribosomal RNA
Source: RNAcentral